GAUACACGCAUCAUGAAUGCCAUGAGAUAUACUAGGGUGCUUGCAUUAGAAUUCACGAAUAUGUUGCAUUGCAUAAUAUGUUGCUGAUGUGGGUGAAUAUUGGAUGAUCCUUUAGCCGCACUACGUUAUGAUAUGAUGUGAUACGGUAUGGAAGACUAGUGAGGCCCAUUCUACGCCCCUGGCACUAUGUAAGAGAAAGACCAGUGAGGCCCAUUCUACACCCCUGGCAUAUUGGAAUGUUAUGUUAUGAAUGUAAUGUAAGAGAAAGACCAGUGAGGCCCAGUCUACGCCCCUGGCACUAUUGGAAUGAGUAGUGGGCUAUUGGUGACAAGUUCACCCUUGAUGUGGAUUGUUUGUGAUAUGUUGCAUUUCAUGAAAGCAUGAAAUUUCAAUUGAAUGUUUAAUUAUUCUGCUCACUGGG
This 421-nucleotide long non-coding RNA is filed under the name Manihot esculenta (cassava). RNAcentral describes it as "long non-coding RNA (MESC_LNC011764)". Lineage: Eukaryota; Viridiplantae; Streptophyta; Magnoliopsida; Malpighiales; Euphorbiaceae. The record is from RNAcentral.